UAUCUCUGUAGAGUCUGCAUAUCAAUAAGCGGAGGAAAAGAAACUAACAAGGAUUCCCUUAGUAACGGCGAGUGAAGCGGGAAGGGCUCAAAUUUGAAAUCUUCAAGGUUUUACCUUGACGAAUUGUAGUUUAAAGAAGUGUUUUCUGUUGAAGUUUUGGUAAAAGUUCUUUGGAAUAGGACAUCAUAGAGGGUGAGAAUCCCGUAUUUGAUCCAUUAUUUAUCACAGCUUGUGAUACACUUUCAAAGAGUCGGAUUGUUUGGGAAUGCAGUCCAAAAUGGGUGGUAAAUUUCAUCUAAAGCUAAAUAUUGGCGAGAGACCGAUAGCGAACAAGUACCGUGAGGGAAAGAUGAAAAGAACUUUGAAAAGAGAGUUAAACAGUACGUGAAAUUGUCAAAAGGGAAGCGUUUGACACCAGUGUUGUUUUCUCGAAAAUCAAUUAAAAAAAGUUGGAUUUUGUAUUGUUAAGACCUUAUCAGCUUACUGUACUCUUUUCUUGCUUUUUUUAAUGCACUUUUCGUUUAGCAAGUCAACAUCAAUUUCUUUUGUUGUAAAAGAGUCAUUGGAAGGUGGCUUUCACUUCGGUGAAAGUGUCUACAGCCUUUGGCUUCUGCAAUCGGAGAGAUUGAGGUCUGCAGCGUAGAUCCUUCGGGGCUAGAUACGUAGAUGCUAAGUUAUAGUUUUUUAUAGACAACUUGUUGACUAUAAUUAAUCAUGUAGCUUACUCGUUUGCGCUAUUUUACCUACGCUUAGGAUGUUGAUGUGAUACUGCGAGCA
This 777-nucleotide ribosomal RNA is filed under the name uncultured Neocallimastigales. RNAcentral's name for it is "partial large subunit ribosomal RNA". It matches the Rfam family "Eukaryotic large subunit ribosomal RNA", at positions 24 to 642 of the family's 3401-position model. The record is from RNAcentral. Lineage: Eukaryota; Fungi; Neocallimastigomycota; Neocallimastigomycetes; Neocallimastigales.